GGCUGCGUAGCUCAGCUGGCCAGAGCAUUCGGUUCAUACCCGAAGGGUCGGGGGUUCGACUCCCUCCGCCGCCACCA
This 77-nucleotide transfer RNA is filed under the name Clostridium cylindrosporum DSM 605. RNAcentral's name for it is "tRNA-Met". It matches the Rfam family "tRNA". Rfam says of the family: Transfer RNA (tRNA) molecules are approximately 80 nucleotides in length. Their secondary structure includes four short double-helical elements and three loops (D, anti-codon, and T loops). Further hydrogen bonds mediate the characteristic L-shaped molecular structure. tRNAs have two regions of fundamental functional importance: the anti-codon, which is responsible for specific mRNA codon recognition, and the 3' end, to which the tRNAs corresponding amino acid is attached (by aminoacyl-tRNA synthetases). tRNAs cope with the degeneracy of the genetic code in two manners: having more than one tRNA (with a specific anti-codon) for a particular amino acid; and 'wobble' base-pairing, i.e. permitting non-standard base-pairing at the 3rd anti-codon position. Lineage: Bacteria; Bacillati; Bacillota; Clostridia; Eubacteriales; Clostridiaceae. The record is from RNAcentral.